This 497-nucleotide ribosomal RNA is filed under the name uncultured bacterium. Its description in RNAcentral is "partial 16S ribosomal RNA". It matches the Rfam family "Bacterial small subunit ribosomal RNA", at positions 28 to 507 of the family's 1533-position model. The record is from RNAcentral.
GAUGAACGCUGGCGGCGUGCCUAAUACAUGCAAGUCGAGCGAACGGACGAGAAGCUUGCUUCUCUGAUGUUAGCGGCGGACGGGUGAGUAACACGUGGAUAACCUACCUAUAAGACUGGGAUAACUUCGGGAAACCGGAGCUAAUACCGGAUAAUAUUUUGCACCGCAUGGUUCAAAAGUGAAAGACGGUCUUGCUGUCACUUAUAGAUGGAUCCGCGCUGCAUUAGCUAGUUGGUAAGGUAACGGCUUACCAAGGCAACGAUGCAUAGCCGACCUGAGAGGGUGGUCGGCCACACUGGAACUGAGACACGGCCCAGACUCCUACGGGUGCCAGCCGUAGGGAAUCUUCCGCAAUGGGCGAAAGCCUGACGGAGCAACGCCGCGUGAGUGAUGAAGGUCUUCGGAUCGUAGAUCUCUGUUAUUAGGGAGGAACAUAUGUGUAAGUAACUGUGCACAUCUUUACGGUACCUAAUCAGAGAGGCACGGCCAACUACCUG